AACGAAGCAUUCUUGUUUUUAGGGAGCUUCUCUGCCUCGGAUUUUUUCCCAAAUGGUGGCUGGAUCAUCGACUGGCUCACUGGUUUACAAGGGCGGAGAGAGAGAAGCGUGAAAGAUCUUGAUGCGUUUUAUGAACAAAUGUUUGAUCUACAUAAAGAGGAAAAAGAUAGAGAGAGUGAAGAUUUCGUGGAUUUGCUCUUGAGAUUUCAGAAAGAAGAAUCUGUUCUUGGAUAUGGCAAGCUCACAAGAAACCAUAUCAAAGCAAUCUUAAUGGUAACUAUAUAUAAAUACAAAUCAAGAAUUGCAAUCAUAUAUUGAAAUUACAUUAUAAUACCUCAAGAUUAUAACACUUCAUUUAUCUUGAUGGUCUUAUGACAGAAUGUUCUUAUAGGAGCCAUCGGUACUUCUGCAAUAACAAUGACAUGGGCAAUGACAGAACUUAUGAGAAACCCACGAGCAAUGAAGAAAGUUCAAUCCGAAAUCAGAAAUCAAAUUGGUAACAAGUCAAUGAUCACCUUGGAUGACAUAGAGAAGCUCCAUUACCUGAAAAUGGUUGUCAAAGAAACAUGGAGGCUACACCCUCCAGCACCUCUUCUGGUUCCAAGAGAAGUAAUGUCUGAAUUUGAGAUCAAUGGGUACAAGAUUCAACCAAAGACACGGCUUUAUGUGAAUGUUUGGGCUAUUGGACGUGAUCCAGAGACCUGGAAAGAUCCAGAGAUGUUUCUCCCGGAAAGGUUCAUUGAUAAUAACAUUGAUGUAAAAGGACAGAAUUUUGAGCUGUUACCCUUUGGAGGCGGCCGGAGACUCUGUCCUGCCAUCUACAUGGGAACAUCAAUGGUGGAGUUUGGUCUUGCGAAUAUGUGUAUCAUUUUGACUGG
This 878-nucleotide long non-coding RNA is filed under the name Eutrema salsugineum. RNAcentral describes it as "long non-coding RNA (ESAL_LNC000472)". Lineage: Eukaryota; Viridiplantae; Streptophyta; Magnoliopsida; Brassicales; Brassicaceae. The record is from RNAcentral.